Molecule: ribosomal RNA, 660 nt
Filed under: Triticum aestivum (bread wheat)
Lineage: Eukaryota; Viridiplantae; Streptophyta; Magnoliopsida; Poales; Poaceae
Description: partial small subunit ribosomal RNA
Source: RNAcentral
AUGCCGCAGGGCGGCGAGGUGCACCCAUGCGUCGGCUUUUGGAUGGGCUACCUCCGCUGCAUGCUGCGCAACCGCAUGUCCCUCUACUUCGUCCUCGCCGGCGUCGACCACGACGGCAACGCCGACUCGCCGCUCGCGGCCGACGAGGGAGGCCUGGUGACAGAGCUGAUCUCGUGCCUGGAGGCCGUGCUGGAGGAGCAGUCCGCCGCGCUCGCAUUCCCAGGGCUGAGGCACAUCUUCAUGCUCAACAACACGAGCGCCAUCCUGCGCCGCGCCGUGCGCUCCGACCUCAGCAUGCUCCUGCCGCCCGGCUGGGUGCUCGCCCGCGAGGAGCGCAUGGAGGGCUACAUCAAGGCUUACCUGCAGGUUUCCUGGGGGACCGUCGUGUCGCGCCUUGACGGGAAGCCGAGAGCCCUGAACACCCUCCGGCGAAGGAACCCGCUGAGCGCAUUUUACCUGGCGUUGGAGAACGCGUGCAGCAUGCAGAGAGGCUGGAAGGUGCCCAGCCCGGCGCUGCGGGCCGCCCUCCGGAGUACCGUGUCGGGGAAUGUCGUACCGGCAUACCGUCGGUACCUCAACGACCACCCGGAGGUUGAGGUGCCGGCAGGGCGCACCGCGGAGGAGCUGGAGAAUCAGUUGUCGAAGCUGUUCGAGGGAUAG